AGGGCAGGGCAGGGUAACGCGGCCGGAGCGAGGGCGGGAGCCGGGCCGGAGCCGGAGUCGGAGCCGGGGCAGGAGUCACCGUCGCGGCUGGAGCGGAGUGAGCGGCGUGUUGAGAGGCGAGCGGCGGCCGAGGAAACAUUGUACCGUUGGUGAAGCCAGCUCAGGAGGCGGCGCGCCCCCCUCUGGAGGACGAGGGCCUCACGCUUGCACGUCUGAGUGUCCGGCCUCCCUCGCAGGCUGCUCUGCCCGGGUGUGUGGAGUCACAGGGAGGGGCUGAGUCUUGCACGUAGGGGCAGCAGAAGAGCAUUCCGUGCAGGUUUGUCUACGGAUUUUGAGCAUCUGAAGCUGCCCUGCGAAUCUAAGCACCGCCCGCUGCGCCCUCGCCCUUUGAAGCGAUGUCUGUGGCUUACGAUGAUUCCGUUGGAGUAGAGGUGUCCAGUGACAGCUUCUGGGAGGUCGGGAACUACAAGAGGACCGUCAAGCGGAUCGAUGACGGCCACCGCCUGUGCAGCGACCUCAUGAACUGCCUGCACGAGCGGGCGCGCAUCGAGAAGGCGUACGCGCAGCAGCUCACCGAGUGGGCCCGGCGCUGGAGGCAGCUUGUGGACAAGGGGCCUCAGUACGGGACGGUGGAGAAGGCCUGGGUGGCCGUCAUGUCCGAGGCGGAGAAGGUGAGCGAGCUGCACCUGGAGGUGAAGGCCUCGCUGAUGAACGAGGAUUUCGAGAAGAUCAAGAACUGGCAGAAGGAGGCCUUUCACAAGCAGAUGAUGGGAGGCUUUAAGGAGACCAAAGAAGCCGAAGAUGGCUUUCGGAAGGCGCAGAAGCCCUGGGCCAAGAAGCUGAAAGAGGUAGAAGCAGCCAAGAAAGCCUACCACGCAGCGUGCAAAGAGGAGAAGCUGGCAAUAUCUCGAGAAACCAAUAGCAAAGCGGAUCCAUCCCUCAACCCCGAACAGCUGAAGAAAUUGCAAGACAAAGUAGAAAAAUGCAAGCAAGACGUCCUUAAGACCAAAGAGAAGUACGAGAAGUCUCUGAAGGAGCUGAGCCAGGGCACACCGCAGUACAUGGAGAGCAUGGAGCAGGUGUUUGAGCAGUGCCAGCAGUUCGAGGAGAAGCGCCUGCACUUCUUCCGGGAAGUCCUGCUGGAGGUUCAGAAGCACCUAGACCUGUCAAAUGUGGCCGCCUACAAAAACAUUUACCAUGACCUGGAGCAGAGCAUCAAAGCUGCCGACGCGGUGGAGGACCUGAGGUGGUUCAGAGCCAACCAUGGGCCAGGCAUGUCCAUGAACUGGCCGCAGUUCGAGGAGUGGUCCGCAGACCUUAACCGAACUCUCAGCCGGAGAGAGAAGAAGAAGACCGCCGAUGGUGUCACGCUGACCGGCAUCAACCAGACGGGCGACCAGGCUCUGCAGAACAAGCCCAGCAGUGACCUUAGUGUCCCGGGCAACCCCGCACGGUCAGCGCAGUCACUGUCCAGCUACAACCCCUUCGAGGACGAGGACGACACGGGGAGCACCGUCAGUGAGAAGGAGGACGUUAAGGCCAAAAAUGUGAGCAGCUACGAGAAGACCCAGAGCUACCCCACGGACUGGUCAGACGAUGAGUCCAACAACCCGUUCUCCUCCACCGACGCCAAUGGGGACUCAAAUCCGUUUGACGAGGACGCCACCUCGGGGACAGAAGUGCGGGUCCGGGCCCUUUACGACUACGAAGGGCAGGAGCACGAUGAGCUGAGCUUCAAGGCCGGGGACGAGCUGACCAAGAUAGAGGACGAGGAUGAGCAGGGCUGGUGCAAGGGGCGCUUGGACAACGGGCAGGUUGGCCUGUACCCAGCGAAUUACGUCGAGGCCAUCCCGUGACAGGCCAGUGGGCUGGCUGGCAGAGGGAUGGAGGCGGAGGUCCCAGGAGCUCUGUUAGCCAUAGGCCCCGGGCAGCGGCGCCUCCGGCCAGCCGUGGGGGCAUCCACUCCUUUUCCUGCAAAAGAUGAUGGUUCCAUUGCUCUUGGCUCCAUAGUGUCUCUUGAAGGCAGACGAGCGGGUCCUUUCAGCUGGGACUCGGUGCAGAUGGAGAGAUCUGAGCACAGGAAGAAAGACAGCACAGCAGACAUGGCUGGGCCCCUCCCUGCCCCCGCUCCCCCGCGCCGUGUGCUGGCUUAUCAUGGAUCUGUAUGUUCUUGGCCUUGUCCUUCCACCUCUCUUCCCAGCCAGCGGCGGGCUACACUGAUUCUGGUUCCACCAGUUACUUUCUCUGACAAGUCCCAUCACCUGCAACUUAAAUGAACAAACUUACAUGCCGUUUUCUGAAUGAAGACUUGGAGGUUUUUAAUUUAAAGGCUGUGUACAGUUAUAGUUUUUUAUGUACCUGUUCUUCCAUUCAUUUAUCCUUAAAUUAUGGCACAGAUCGAUGUACACGAGUCUUGAGGAAACAGCUCUAUUUCCAUGCUGUACUGUCAACCAGCCGUGCCACUGCCUGGGGCGAGCUGCAAGAGCUGGGAGCUCGCUCGGACAGACGAUGUUUAGGCCAGAGAGUGCACGGGAAGGCCGGAACACAUGGCUGGGUUUCUGUUGCGAUGCUCUCCGCAUGUGGGGGGUCCAAAUGGCAUUUCCGGAAGUAACUUACGUAGUGCUCGCUAAAGUCGCCGUAUUUAAAAACUAUUUUCACUCUUACUUGUGCUUAAUACUUUACUCUUACAAAUUAACGAUUUCAUCAGUGAUUUGAAAGGUUAAAAAUAAAAAAUAAGAAGACUAACUUUGCAAGCAAAUGCAUCUGUAGUUGAGAUGCUUUGUACCAGGCUCUCGUGUCUUGGUGUAUAUCUGUACAUGUUAUUUGAUAUUCAGAGAAUCUAAAGAGCUCGUCUACUGUGUUAAUGAGAUUUAACAGCUUUUGACAGUGGGUUUAAUUUGUAAACUGCUUGAAGACCGUGCGUUCAGGCCCAGGCGCUCGGGCUCCAGGCCUCGGAAGCGGAGCCCGCUGUGGGGAGACCUGUCCUCACUGCCCAGCUGCGGGCCAGCUUCCAAUAACCGCCUUAGUCCUCUCCGCGGCGAACACUGUACAAGCUCCUGAGUCCUUGCAGCAGCUGCAGAUCUCAUAGUCGCCCGUAUCCCUCUCGAGCAGACAAAAGCUGGGUCUCACCCCCCAGCACAAGGGUCUCCUCCAAGUGUCCGCAGCCAUCAGGGAGCAGGAAGCUACACUGUAAUCACAGGCCAGGGAGGGAGGGGAAAAUCUUUAUUUUGUGCUACUUGGACAUUGAGAAAUGGCUGCCGCCAUCACAAGCUAUGCAUUUUGUUCAGUGUUUCCAGGGAGCUUGAUGUCUUACUUGGAAAGUGGAUGUGUGUGUGUCUGUCAUGAAAACUUACCAGCAGAAAUCCUCAUUCCUUUGCUACAGAUUUACCAAAAAAUUGUCAAGUCUUUGCAGUGUAGGAGUUUCUUUAAAAUGUAGAGUAUUUUAGAAAAAAACGUCAAUAAACAGUUGAUCUCA
Molecule: long non-coding RNA, 3475 nt
Filed under: Sus scrofa (pig)
Lineage: Eukaryota; Metazoa; Chordata; Mammalia; Artiodactyla; Suidae
Description: lncRNA (ENSSSCG00035026342.1)
Source: RNAcentral